Molecule: long non-coding RNA, 989 nt
Filed under: Homo sapiens (human)
Lineage: Eukaryota; Metazoa; Chordata; Mammalia; Primates; Hominidae
Description: HSALNT0325016
Source: RNAcentral
GCCGGUGGCGGGGGUCGCGAGAGGCGUCAGGAUCCCUGGCGCCGCCUGAGCCAGCGGCUGCUAGGAGGCUGUGUCCGCAAGCCAGCGGGGCGAGGCACCUGGGGCCUGCGCGUCAGGUCCCGGCCUGGGGCACCGGGGCUGCCAGCGUCGGAGGAGGCCUGAGACCUGGGAGGAAGCUGGAGAAAAGAUGCCCUCUGAAUCUUUGUGUUUGGCUGCCCAGGCUCGCCUUGACACCGAAUGGUUGAAAACAGAUAUACAGAUGAUAGUGUCGAACCAAGUGAAACAAAGAAAGAAGAUCUGAAUGACAAAGAGAAAAAAGAUGAAGACGAAACUCCUGCACCUGUAUAUAGGGCCAAGUCAAUUCUGGAGACCUGGGCGUGGGGCAAGCAACCAGGUGACAGAGCCCUCAAGGGGACAGAGCCCAUGCUCAUAACCAGAAGGAGCCCUGGCAUUCCCUGGACGUGAAGCACUAUUUGUCCAUUCAGCAAGAAUUACUCAACCCCUAUCUGCCAACCCAGAGGCCCAGUGAUGAACAGGACCAAUCCAGUUCUUGCCCCCAUGAGGCCUUCAUUUUGAUGGAACAAUCAGGCUCAAGAACCUCUUAAGGAGUUGCUAAGAGGUUCCUGAAUGAGUGGGCCCAAUUAACUGCAGUCAAGUCUGCUGUGCUGAGGCCUGGCAAAUCAGAAUUUCUGGAUCAAUUUGGAAACUAAGACUAGAAAAGAUCUGUGUUUCGUCAUCUGGAACCCAGGGAGAGGGUGAGGCACGUGGAGUUCCUUGACCCCUCAUCUUGCUGAAGCAGCAAGCAUGGCUAUUUAGAGCCUGUCUGCUUUGCACAUCCCAUGAGAGUGCAGUCAACAUCUGCUAGCCAUAGAUAAGACAAACUCUGUGGUUAUAAAAGACCCAAACUUCUGCUGUUCUAAGAGCUCCAUGACCCGGAGACGCCCCACCUCACUGCUGAGCAACAUCUUCCCUGCCCAAGUGCCACUCAA